RNAcentral lists this ribosomal RNA (810 nucleotides) under Bacillus sp. (in: firmicutes). RNAcentral's name for it is "bacterial SSU rRNA". It matches the Rfam family "Bacterial small subunit ribosomal RNA", at positions 96 to 868 of the family's 1533-position model. Lineage: Bacteria; Bacillati; Bacillota; Bacilli; Caryophanales; Bacillaceae. The record is from RNAcentral.
CGGCGGACGGGUGAAGUAACACGUGGGGUAACCCUCCCUGGUAAGACUGGGGAUAACUCCCGGGGAACCCGGAGCUUAAUCCCGGAUAGUUUCCUUGUAACCGCAAUGGUUCAAGAAUGAAAAGACGGUUUUCGGCUGUCCCUUACAGAUGGACCCGCGGCGCCAUUAAGCUAGUUGGUGGGGGUAAUGGGUUCCCAAAGGCGACGAUGCGUAGCCGGCCUGAGAGGGGUGAUCGGCCACACUGGGGACUGAGACACGGCCCAGACUCCUACGGGAGGGCAGCAGGUAGGGAAUCUUCCGCAAUGGACGAAAAGUCUGACGGAGCAACGCCGCGUGAGUGAUGAAGGUUUUCGGAUCGUAAAGCUCUGUUGUUAGGGAAGAACAAGUGCGAGAGUAUCUGCUCGCACCUUGACGGUACCUAACCAGAAAGCCACGGCUAACUACGUGCCAGCAGCCGCGGUAAUACGUAGGUGGCAAGCGUUGUCCGGAAUUAUUGGGCGUAAAGGGCUCGCAGGCGGUUUCUUAAGUCUGAUGUGAAAGCCCCCGGCUCAACCGGGGAGGGUCAUUGGAAACUGGGAAACUUGAGUGCAGAAGAGGAGAGUGGAAUUCCACGUGUAGCGGUGAAAUGCGUAGAGAUGUGGAGGAACACCAGUGGCGAAGGCGACUCUCUGGUCUGUAACUGACGCUGAGGAGCGAAAGCGUGGGGAGCGAACAGGAUUAGAUACCCUGGUAGUCCACGCCGUAAACGAUGAGUACUAAGUGUUAGGGGGUUUCCGCCCCUUAGUGCUGCUAGCUAACCCAUUAAAGCCA